GUUUAACAAGUUCAAGAGAGAAGAUAUUGGCCAAAUACAACACAGAGGCUAAACACAACACCUAUGUUGAUUGUUUGGUGCAUAAGAAUUGAGAUGAUGGAAAGAGGUCACUGUGAGCUUCAGGAAUAGCUUGAGGCUAACUGAUAAAACAGAGUGGAUUGACAAUUAUUCUCUGGACUUUUUGGUAACCAAGAACUUCUAGCAACUAACCCUGGCAUGACCACCAGAAUCUGCAGGGCUGAGAGAAGAAAGAAAGGCAAAAGUGGAUGAAUGCAGCUGAAGAUGCUGUGGAACUCCUAUCACAUUCCAAGUGCUGUGUUGAUAUCUGGAGAUAUAGACAAGAUCGAAGCAGAUGCAGUCUUUCACAUGAAUAUUUGAAUCAGGCACAGGAUGCAGGUGAUGGGUAUUGGCCUCAGCUUUAGAGACCAGAGGUUAAAUCUCAGUGCUGCCUGCCACAAAACGAUCCAUGUAAGUCAAUAAACAAUGCUUUUUAAAAUAUUAUUAUAAAGAUAUAGUGUGUGGAUCCCUCUCAAUUGUCCAUUCUUCCCUGUCACAAAAAUUUGCCUGCUUUUCGUUACCAUGUGAGAGGCAAAUGAAUUGAACUAAAUGGUUUCUAAUGCCCUGUCCACCUCUAAAAUUCUAUAGAACUGUGAUUUGAUUCCAAUGGGCCAUAUCAGGACUCGGCAUUAUUUUCAUCAGUGAACCAUUUCAUUAGAAAUUUAUUUUUCCAAAUGAUAUUAGUAAAUAUUGAAGGAGGCUUCUCCCACAGAGCUUCUUGUACAAAUUAAAACAGGGCAGUAGAAGGUUUUCAGGUUGG
RNAcentral lists this long non-coding RNA (817 nucleotides) under Homo sapiens (human). RNAcentral describes it as "non-protein coding lnc-TNFAIP6-2:9". The record is from RNAcentral. Lineage: Eukaryota; Metazoa; Chordata; Mammalia; Primates; Hominidae.